AGCCAUGUAGUAAGCACAAAGCGAACUAUUCUUUCGCCUUUUACUAAAGAAUACCGUGUGCUCGUUACAUCAAAUGGUAUACACUUAUAUUUGGAGAGCGCGAUUCUAUAACAGAAGGCU
Helianthus annuus (common sunflower) is the source of this 120-nucleotide non-coding RNA. Lineage: Eukaryota; Viridiplantae; Streptophyta; Magnoliopsida; Asterales; Asteraceae. The record is from Rfam.